UUUAGAAAGAAAGACAAUUCUGUCUUAUGAGGCCGCCGUUGAGUUUGGAAAGAGUACUGAGCAGAGAGACCAGCAAAUAGACAAGAUAAGCCUCUAGGCUCCAAGAUGUGAGCACGCGAGGCCUUUGGUGCUGGGCACACGCUCAGAGGGUCUGUCGGAUCCAAAGAGACUUCUGAUCGUUUGACCCUCACUCUGGGGUCAUUCACCGGGAGCCGCUCAGGGUUAAAUUCGAGCUUCGUGGCAUCAGCUGCAACAAGUCACGAAACUUCCCUGAGCCUCAACGUGCCCGUCUGUAGAAGGGACUCGGGCUGCGAAGCCACUGCCCUGACGGGGAGGCUGCCGGGAGGGUUCUCGGGACGAGGCAGAGAGCACAGUGCGGCUCCAGGGAAUGAAAUUCAACCUCCUGUCAGCGGAAGCGCAGGGCCUGGCGGCUGCGUCUUACAGCAUUUACGGCCUCCUUGUGGAACCUGUACAGAUUAUAUUUUUUCCUCUUCACCCGAGGAUAUGUUUUUAUUUAUUUUC
Molecule: non-coding RNA, 522 nt
Organism: Miniopterus natalensis
Lineage: Eukaryota; Metazoa; Chordata; Mammalia; Chiroptera; Miniopteridae
Source: RefSeq, a predicted model, not a curated record